Papaver somniferum (opium poppy) is the source of this 1883-nucleotide long non-coding RNA. RefSeq lists it as uncharacterized. Lineage: Eukaryota; Viridiplantae; Streptophyta; Magnoliopsida; Ranunculales; Papaveraceae. The transcript has 2 exons. The record is from RefSeq and is a predicted model, not a curated record.
UCUAGUCAAAAGGGUUCCUUGUUCAAAUGAUUCCAGGGGUUCUGAUUUUUACUAACAAAGUUGUAAUCUUUACACCUGCAAAUGAUCAGAGUUAUAUUUGGGUUUAAAAGUUAGGGUUUUUAUGGUUGUGGAGAGAAAUCAAUCAGUGGGUUUCUAUCAAUGCUGAUCAAAACGCUAAAUUUUCAGAAGAUUUGAAGAGAAGAAGUUGUUGGUGGUUUCAAUGUCUUGGCCUGGUUCUGAAGAUGGAUUCCUUUCUACUUCACUUGCUAGCUAUCUUGACAGUAUAAAUUGCAGAGAAGCUUCUUGUUUUGCUGAGAGAUGACCAGAAACUCAUGGGGAUACUUCGUUCUUUUGAUCAUUUCGGUCUGCUUUUUGUCUAUAUGUUGAUUUAUGAAUUUGCCUCUUUUCUGCACUUUAGUCGCUUAUGGAAAAAGCAAAUGCGGUUCUUGAAGGUGCGUGCCUUUUGGGCCGGCUCAAAAGGCAGAAAGGGUUGCUACAGAUUUGAAAAACAGUUUUGUGCACCCCCUUUAUAAAGUAUAUCUUUAAGGUUUUAUAAUCAAAUACUCCACCCAUCACAAUGGUAGAAUCAUGCUGGUUGCGCAAAAUAACAAUCCGAGGUGGCCAUUGUGCUCUGAUUGGAAUAGCAAGAUAACCCGAUUUUAUCGCACACUACAGUCAUGAACAGUAUCAUAUUGUCAAUUUGUAACAGAAAGUAGUCCUUUUAUUUUCUUAAUGGUCCAGUUUGCAGUUUGUUUCUUAAAUGUGCACUCCUUUACAUUCCCGUGUAUAACUUGCAGAGAAGCUUCUUGUCUUGCUGACAGAUGGCCGGAAACUCAUGGGGGUAUUUGUUCUUUUGAUCUGCUUUUUUCCGUCUCUAUGUUGAUUUAUGAAUUUGCCUCUUUUCUGCACUUCGGUAGCUAAUGGACACUUUGUUUUCUGUAUACAACAAAUGCGUCCUUGAAGGAGCUUGUGAACAAGCAACUUUUGGAGAUCUCUGCUGCGACAUUUCUUGAGGUCUUAAUGUGAUCCGCAGGGAAAAUGUUGUCUUAAUAAGAGAACUGGUAUAUAAACUGUUUAUUUAAUUUCAGUUUUCUGACUAAUUGUUGCCAAUAGUUAAGUACCUCUCAAGUAGUAAUUUUUCAUGUUUUUGUUCUCAUCAAAUAAGAUUUAGAGAGGGAGGAGCUUCCCCCGCACAUGACUCAGUGUUCACCUGCUGAGAUAAAAAAGAGUAAGUGAUACUUUUUUUUUUCCGGCAGUAUUAUGUUAGUUAGCAUGGUUCUGACAAUACUCUGAGGUUUUACGUUUGGGCAGGCGCAAAAGGCAGAAAGGGAUGCCACAGAACUGAAAGGCUCCAUGAGAAAAAGAAUGGAGUUUCUGGAUAUGGACUGAAUCCAUGCUAUAUAUCACCCGCAAAUAUUAUCGCGGCUGAUUCUUGCUGGUUAAAGUUGCUCAAAUGUGGCCAUUUUACUCGUCUUUUAGCUGUUCAAAUUUAUCUGUGGCAACCACAAAUUUACUGUAUGCCAUAUACAAUUUGUAGCUCAUGGAAGUUGUGAUUUGCUUCUUGACCCUGGAUUUCAUCUAGUGGUUACUAACCUUAGUUCCAUUCACACAGGAUGCAGCCGUUUGUUAAUGAAGUUUUAAUGGGUUGAUCCCAGUGUCACUGGGGGUGAACAUGGUCUGGAUUCAACCGGUUUUAACAUCAUCAGCAUCCAGUCCUGUACAUGACGGACUAGUUUUAGUGUUGUUUGUCUAAAAUUCAAUGUAGAAGACAUUGGUGGGUUUGUCUGCCGUUUCCAGGAAUUUAUAAUCCCAUGGGGUUACAAAUUCUGGGAUUCAUGUAAAUUCCUUGCAUAUAUAUGGAAUUUAGAGUUUUCUGGGAUUCA